Molecule: non-coding RNA, 96 nt
Organism: Zobellia galactanivorans
Lineage: Bacteria; Pseudomonadati; Bacteroidota; Flavobacteriia; Flavobacteriales; Flavobacteriaceae
Source: Rfam
GUUACGUGUAACUAUAUGGAGAAGUCAGCAGAGGUCAUAGUACCCACGGGAAACGAGUUGCAUAAAACUGCACAGGUCUCACAAAUGGGGAAGGAC